AUGCUGCUGCUGGCAGCGCUCAUGGCCACAACCGCUUGGAUUUAUGGAGUUGCACAAGAAAUUCCCGUGCAGGUCCCCCUGUCCAUCACGAAGUCCAAAGGAACUGUCCGUCUGGAAUGCCACUUUAAAGACGUCUCUGAAGAUUUUGAUCCUGUCGUCAUACACUGGUACCAACAGAAGGCAAAUAAAGCCCCAGAGAGGGUGCUCUAUUUUGCAGGGACAAAAGCAGUAGAUGAGGGCUUCCAAGCGCAGAGGUAUAGGGUUGAAAAGAUUUCUGGACAGAAACUGUGCAUUCUUGAAAUAAACAACGUCCUUCCAGACGACACUGCGACCUACUACUGCGCCUACUGGAGCUUGGGUGACUACUACAAAGUCUUUGGAACCGGCACAAAGCUUAUUGUUUCCG
Eurypyga helias (sunbittern) is the source of this 406-nucleotide non-coding RNA. The record is from the annotation of a RefSeq genome assembly. Lineage: Eukaryota; Metazoa; Chordata; Aves; Eurypygiformes; Eurypygidae.